RNAcentral lists this ribosomal RNA (944 nucleotides) under Bacillus sp. HT-Azo-R. Its description in RNAcentral is "bacterial SSU rRNA". It matches the Rfam family "Bacterial small subunit ribosomal RNA", at positions 44 to 959 of the family's 1533-position model. The record is from RNAcentral. Lineage: Bacteria; Bacillati; Bacillota; Bacilli; Caryophanales; Bacillaceae.
GCGGCUACACAUGCAGUCGAGCGAACAGAGAAGGAGCUUGGUCCUUUGACGUUCGCGGCGGACGGGUGAGUAACACGUGGGCAACCUACCCUAUAGUUUGGGAUAACUCCCGGAAACCGGGGCUAAUACCGAAUAAUCUUUUGUCCCUCAUGGAACAAUACUGACAGACGGCUUCGGCUGUCGCUAUCGGAUGGGCCCGCGGCGCAUUAGCUAGUUGGUGAGGUAACGGCUCAACAAGGCCACGAUGCGCAGACAACCUGAGAGGGUGAUCUGCCACUCUGAGACUGAGACACGGCCCAGACUCCUACGGGAGGCAGCAUAUUGGAAUCUUCCACAAUGGGCGAAAGCCUGAUGGAGCGACGCCGCGGGAGUGAAGAAGGAUUUCGGGUCGUUUAACUCUGUUGGAAGGGAAGAACGAGUACAGCAUUGACUGGUUGUACCUUGACGGUACCUUAUUAGAAAGACCUGCCUAACUACGUGCCAGCUGCCGCGGAAAUACCUAGGGGGCAAGCGAUGUCCGGAAUUAUUGGGCGUAAAGCGCGCGCUGGUGGUUUCUAUGUGCUGAUGUGAGAGUCCACCGCUCAACCGUGUAGGAUCCUUGGAAACUGGGAGACUUGAGUGCAGAAGAGGAUUCCAGGAUUCCCAGUGUAGCGCGUGAGAUGCGUAGAGAUUUAGCAGGAACACCAGUGGCGAACGCGACUAUAUAGUCUGUAUCUGACACUGAAGCGCGACAAGCGUGGGGAGCAUACAUGCUCUAGAUACCCCGCGUCGUCCACGCCUGUAAACGAUGAGUGUUGAGCGUUAGGGGCGUUUCCUUCCCGUAACUGCUGCGGCUAAUGCAUCUACCCGCUCCGCCUGGCGAGUACGGUCAGCAAUACUAGAGACUCGACGGAGUCGCGCGGGGGCCGUCNCAAGNNGUGGAUCAUGUNGAUGAUUCGGAGNUA